Molecule: ribosomal RNA, 370 nt
Filed under: uncultured bacterium
Lineage: Bacteria
Description: bacterial SSU rRNA
Rfam family: Bacterial small subunit ribosomal RNA
Source: RNAcentral
GAUGAACGCUAGCGGCAGGCUUAAUACAUGCAAGUCGUGGGGCAGCAGCUCUGUAGCAAUACAGAGGCUGGCGACCGGCAAACGGGUGCGGAACACGUACGCAACUUACCCAUAACUGGUGAAUAGCCCUCCGAAAGGAGGAUUAAUACAUCGUAACAUAAUGAGAUGGCAUCAUUUUAUUAUUAUAGCUCCGGCGGUUAUGGAUGGGCGUGCGGCNGAUUAGGUAGUUGGCGGAGUAAUAGCCCACCAAGCCUACGAUCAGUAACUGGUGUGAGAGCACGACCAGUCACACGGGCACUGAGACACGGGCCCGACUCCUACGGGAGGCAGCAGUAAGGAAUAUUUGGUCAAUGGACGCAAGUCUGAACCA